RNAcentral lists this transfer RNA (128 nucleotides) under Acidithiobacillus sulfurivorans. RNAcentral's name for it is "tRNA-OTHER". It matches the Rfam family "tRNA". Rfam says of the family: Transfer RNA (tRNA) molecules are approximately 80 nucleotides in length. Their secondary structure includes four short double-helical elements and three loops (D, anti-codon, and T loops). Further hydrogen bonds mediate the characteristic L-shaped molecular structure. tRNAs have two regions of fundamental functional importance: the anti-codon, which is responsible for specific mRNA codon recognition, and the 3' end, to which the tRNAs corresponding amino acid is attached (by aminoacyl-tRNA synthetases). tRNAs cope with the degeneracy of the genetic code in two manners: having more than one tRNA (with a specific anti-codon) for a particular amino acid; and 'wobble' base-pairing, i.e. permitting non-standard base-pairing at the 3rd anti-codon position. Lineage: Bacteria; Pseudomonadati; Pseudomonadota; Acidithiobacillia; Acidithiobacillales; Acidithiobacillaceae. The record is from RNAcentral.
GGAUGCGUGGCAAAGUCCGGUUUAUUGCGCCGUCCUCGAAAGCGGCCCGUGGACAUUUUGCCGACGAAUGUCUGCACAAGACAGAAGCCAGCAAUGGUUCGCGGGUUCGAAUCCCGCCGCUUCCUCCA